RNAcentral lists this long non-coding RNA (43648 nucleotides) under Citrus maxima (pomelo). RNAcentral's name for it is "long non-coding RNA (CMAX_LNC004229)". Lineage: Eukaryota; Viridiplantae; Streptophyta; Magnoliopsida; Sapindales; Rutaceae. The record is from RNAcentral.
AUUUUUCACUCUUUGCCUCUCCUCCUCCCUUAAAUCUAUUCAACCUCUUAUUUUAGCAAUUUAUCCAAACUUCUUAUUUCCCUCUUCCCAGCUGAUUGAUUAGUUCUGCUCAGUUUGAUUAGUUUUGCUUUCCCCUGUUUUCUGAAAGGGAAAAAUAAAAAAGAAAAGGAUAAUGGAAAUUGUUAUCUCCGUUGCUGCAAAAGUUGCCGAGUACUUCGUUGCUCCCAUAAUUCAUCCAUUUACUUACUGCUGCACUUAUAAGACCAACUUCGAAAAGCUGAAUAAUGAAGUUGAUAAGCUCAAGAAUGCUAGAGACAGUGUGCAGUAUAAGGUUGAUGAUUCCAGAAUUAAAGGGGACGGAAUCCAACUGCACGUUGAGGAGUGGCUGAUUGCUGCGAACAAGGAGAUCAAUGAAGUCGAAACACUUAUUGAAGGCAAAGAGAAUUCAAACAACCGGUGUUUGAAGGGGUUAUGUCCUAAUUUGAGGACUCGGUACCGGCUUAGCAAGAAAGCAGAAAGAGAGGCGAAUGCUAUUGUUGGACUCCAUGAAAAAGGGAGAUUCGACAGUGUUUCUUUCCGUACCAUUCCAGAGGAGACAUGGCUUAAGUCUACCCAGGAUUUCAUGCACUUUGAAUCGAGAAAGUCCACCUUGAAGGAGAUACUAGAUGCACUGAGCAACCGUAACUUCAACAUGAUUGGAGUGUACGGGAUGGGUGGGAUUGGAAAGACAACGCUGGUGAAAGAAGUUGGCAGGCAGGUCAAGGAAAAUAAUCUCUUUGAGAAGGUCAUUUCUUCACGUGUUUCACAAACACCGCAAAUAAAAAAUAUACAAGGAGAAAUCGCAGAGAAGAUAGGCUUAGAAUUGGCCGAACAGAGUCAUGAAACUGUAAGAGCAGGGAGGCUGCUUGAACGAUUGAAGAAAGAGACGAAGAUCCUUAUAAUCUUGGAUGAUAUUUGGGGGAGUAUGGAUUUGGAGGCGAUUGGAAUUCCAUUGGCAGAUGACAACGGCGGAUGUAAAGUUCUGCUGACAGCAAGAAGUCAGGAUGUGUUAUCUUGUAAGAUGGAUUGUCAACAUAAUUUUUUUGUUGAUGUUCUGAACGAAAAAGAAGCUUGGAGUCUUUUCAAAAAGAUGACAGGUGAUUGCAUAGAAAAUGGUGAACUGAAAUCUGUAGCAACAGAGAUAGUCAAGGAAUGUGCUGGUUUGCCCAUUGCCAUUGUACCCGUAGCAAGGGCAUUGAGAAAUAAGAGAUUGUCUGAAUGGAAGGAUGCUUUGCUGGAAUUUAGAAGGCCUUCCUUGAGAAACUUCACUGGAACAACGGAGGUGGCGUACAAUAGUAUAGAGCUAAGUUACAAUCAUUUAAACGGAGAGGAACUGAAGAAAACAUUUUUGCUAAUCGGGUACACGUUCUUCUCUUGUGUUGAAGACCUACUCUAUUAUGGCAUGGGUUUGGGUCUGUUUCAAAACAUCAACACGUUGGAAGAGGCACGGGAUAGAGCACAUACAUUGAUUGAUAAACUCAAGAACUCUUGUUUGUUGCUUGAUGGCGGUUCAAGUGAAUGGUUUUCAAUGCAUGAUGUUGUUCGUGAUGUAGCCAGAUCAAUUGCAUCAAGAGACCAACAUGUGUUUGUGGUGGAAAAUGAGGUUGUUCCGCUGACCAACUGGCCAGAUAAGGAUACACUGAAGGUUUGCACCGCAAUCUCCUUAAAUAAUAGUAAUAUUAGUGAGCCUCCUCAAGGGUUCGAAUGCCCGCAACUUAAAUUCCUUUGUAUUGGCCGUCAUGCUUCUUUGAGGAUCCCAGAUAAAUUUUUUACUGGGAUGACAGAGCUUAGAGUUUUAGAUUUCACUAUGAUGCAUUUAAAACCAUUGCCUUCAUCUCUUGGUCUCUUACAAAACCUUCAAACAUUGUCUCUCGAUGAUUGUGAAGUAGGAGACAUGGCCAUUAUUGGAGACCUAAAGAAAUUAGUUAUCCUUACGCUUCGAGGUUCUAAUAUGGAGGAACUGGCUGGAGAGAUAGGCCAGCUGACUCAAUUGAGGUUGUUGAAUCUGGGCAACUGUUUCAAUCUACAAGUUAUUCCACCAAAUGUCAUAUCAAGCUUAUCACGAUUAGAAGAAUUGUAUAUCGGUGAGAGUCCCAUUAUGUGGGGGAAGGUUGGAGGAGUCGACGGUGAAAGAAGAAAUGCCAGCCUUGAUGAGUUGAAUAAUUUAUCUAAAUUGACCUCUUUAGAAAUACUCAUCCAAGAUGAAAAGGCUCUACCAAGAGACUUGUCGUUCUUCAAAAUGCUGCAAAGGUACAGGAUAUUGAUAGGAAAUUGCAGGGAGUAUGGCGCAUGGGAUGGGAUUUCUAGAACGUUCAGACUGGGGCUCACAAAUGGUGACAACAUUUGCUUGAACGAGGGGCAUAUCAUGCAAUUGAAGGGUAUUGAAGGCCUAACUUUGGAUGGAUUGCCGGACAUUAAGAAUAUUCUUUGUGAACUAGGCAGAGAAGGUUUUCCACAGCUGAAUCGUCUCGAAAUCCGACGUAAUGGCAACAUUGUUCGUCUUGUUGACACAAUGGAUUGUACGCCAGCUCGGACGACUGCAUUCCCACUUUUGGAGUCAUUAUUUCUGAGAGAUUUAAGGAACCUUGAGGAAAUAUGUCGUGGUCCACUCACACCAAAGUCUUUUAGCAAAUUAAAGACCAUAAGGGUGGAAGGGUGUGAUAAAUUGAAAAAAGUAUUUCCAUUGGUCAUUGGCAGAGGCCUUCAACAACUUCAGUCCGUUAAAGUGAGUAGUUGCCAAAAUAUGGAAGUGAUUUUUGCUGCCGAGAGAGGAGAUGAAUCCAGCAAUAAUAACGGUACUGAAGUGAUUGAACUCACUCAAUUAAGGACACUUGAGCUUCGUUCUCUUCCGCAGCUUACAAGCUUCGGCACAGGAGAUCUGCAUUUUGAAAAGGUAUUUCUACUUUUGAGAGUUCAGAGUUUUAUUGUCGUCAUCGCCCUCAUCACUUCGUCUUUUAGAAACAAAAUGUUAGUUCUAUAAAUCAGUUUAUUUAAUUAUACUUUAUAAUAUCCUUAUAAACAUAAUUAUCACUCUUCAGUAAUUCUUCUCAUUAUCGAAUAUUGAAUUGGCUACAACCAUAGAUGGAUUUGGAUGUCAGUUAGACCGAAUAAAAAAAAAAAGAAAAGAUAUUUAUACAACCAUGAUAACAGAAAUAGUGGCAGAUGAGGAUGAUGAGGGAGAUAAUUAUGCAGCAAAAGAUGAAAUUGUUUUCAGCGAAUUAAAGGAAUUGUUGCUUUGGGACUUAAAAAGUCUGACUAGUUUCAGCUGCUCUGGGAAUAAUUGCGACUUCAAAUUCCCAUCUCUAGAAAGAUUAGUGGUGGAAAAUUGCCCCAAUAUGAAGAUUUUCUCAGAAGGGGAAUUAAGCACACCCAAGUUACAGAAAGUGCAGCUGAGCGUGUUUGAUAAUAAACUUUGGGCUUGGGAUCGGGACCUUAAUACAACCAUUCAAUACCUUAAUACAACCAUUAAAAGAAAAAAGGUAAGUAUUCAUUCACUAUGAGAUGUUGAUUUUUUUUUUAAAUUACUGAUUUAAUAACAGAUAUAUAUAAAAAAGUAAAAAGAAAAAAAUACAUAUUAAUUUUUUUAUAAAUUCAUUUUAAAUCUGAAUAGGAAGAGGAGGAAGAAGAGAAAGAGAAGUCUGCCAAGGCGAAUGAAAAGGAGAAAGAUGCGAAAGACAGUGGUAAGAUAAAAUCUAUACAAUUUAGGAGGUUUUGAUUUGAUUCUAUUUUGCUGACUAAAAAUGUUUUAUUUAUGUUGAAUUUUUUGUUAUACGUAUUUUACUCUUUGUCUACAGAGUCUCGAAACUUAUGAAGACGAUUCAUGCUACUUGUGCAGCAUUUUGGAUAAGGCUCGAGCUCGAGUUCUUUGUAUAUAUUGAGAGUCAGAUGGUGUUGGUGAGAGGAUUUUUUGUUUCAGUUUUCAUUCAUUUUUAUGCUUUUAGCUUUGUUUGAGUGCUCAGAAAUCCAAUUUGAAUUUAGUUUUAUUUCUUAUGGAUGGUGUCCAAGAUCUGCCAUAUUCAAUUUGUAGGCAUCUGAAAAUCUCUUUAAGCCCUAAAUUAAUUAAAGAGAUGUGUGCAUCAUAUUUGUGUUCGUACACCUAUUGGUAUUUUUUGGAGACAAUUAUGUAAGAAAUUAUGUAAUUUCAUGAAAAUAUGAAGAUUUUAUAUAGAAAAUUAUGGAAAAAUAAAAGUUUACGGGUCGAUUGCUGUUGACAAGUUCCUCCAUUUACAUUAUUAUUAAUUAUUUUUGUUGGUGAAAGCUAAGAUUAGAAGAAUGCGACAAUAAGAAGAUUAAAUACUUUGACAAGUUCCUCCAUGUUCAUUGUAGUAGAUAUUCAACAAAGAUGAUAAUACAGCAACAGAAAUUGGAGUUUUAAGCCAUCAGACACAAACAAUUGUGAAACAAGUGGGUAGAGGGAAUAAUAAAAAUCGAAAGACAUGGAUGGGAAGAAUAUGAGAUCAUUGAUAGAACCUAAAUACAAAUUCAAUCAAUUCAUUAAGCCAUCAAAAGUUAGUUACAAACCACUCUAUCUUAACAUAUGUAAUUUACCAUCAUCUAAAACCACUAUAUCCUAACAUAUGUAAUGUACCAUUAUCAAUUUUCGCUAUGUUAUGUCUGUAUAGCCUAAUAUGUUUGGCUUGGUUUUGUCUAAUAUGUUUAGCUUGGUUUUGUAUCCUUUCCAAACAUAUGAAUAUUUACUCAAGCGCAUGUUUGGGCCAUCUGAACAUUGAGUGGUUUGAUAUCUCUGCAGCGCAUGUAGGUCAGAAACUGACCAGGCAGCUCCUCCAAAAGUGCUUGUACAACAGAAAUUUGCCCACCUGUUCAGAAAACAAUGGGUUCGUUUGUUCAGGCAUGAAAAAAUUCAGAAACUUUUGUGAAUUAACUCCUAAAUUCAAUAGUUUGAACUAAUUUUGUCAAUGAAUCAUAUGCACUCACUAUGAACUUCUUGCAUUGGAACAAAUUGUACUAUAUCUCUGGUAGCUACCCGAUCGGUAGAGCUCUCUAAUCUACGGCCAUUAUCAGCAUCAAGAAUCUGCCAACAAAGUUAUCAGCGUCAAGAAUCUGCAACAAAAGUGGGAUAAUACCACACUGCAUAUAUACUCUAAAUUGAAUCUAUCAAACUAUAGAAAAAAGAAGUUCAAUGCUAGUAAGAAGAUAUUCCAGUUGGAAAACAUUGCGUACCUCCAUUUGUGUAAAAUCUGCACCUCCCACACCCACAAUUAGAAUUGACAGGGGAAGAUCAGAAGCCCUUACCAAAGCAUCUUUCGUUUCUUGGAGAUCUGUCAGAACUCCAUCCUAGAUAGACCAUGCAAAUUUACAAAUCACCCAAAAAGAAUGAUAGAAAGAGAAAACUGUGAAUAUAUAGAAUCAUUGUAAUCACCGUUAUAAUGAGUAAGACGAAAUACUUGCUUCUGUCGUAUGAGAGGGAUUGUCCAGCAAUUCGUGCAGCUGUGUUGAUCACUUGACCAAACAGAGUCGGUCCUGCCAAAGAAACAUUGUUUAGAGCGCUUGCAUAAGCAGCCAUAAUGCCUUCAACUCCAUCUACCUAUUAAAUAAAGAAACCAGCAGUUAAUAAAAAAAAUGGAAGAGGAUAAAAUAUACAUCUUUUAGGAUAAAAUUCCAAGGAAAUUUUCAGAAAAUGUAGAAACAUAUUAUAAUGUUUGUUAUUAAAAAUGAAAAGUUAUGGGAGACAAGCCAACCAAAUAAGGAUUACAGCAAAGUAGCGAACUCCAGUUACCCCUACCUCAAAGCCACCUGCUCUUCCAUUCAAGUUAAAACAAUGUGAUACAGUGCCAUCAAAUGUCUUCCCUCCAAAUCCCCAUGCAAAAGCGUCUAUCAGAAUCAUAAAAUUGUAUGACCUCCCCAAUUUCCGUUAUUGCCUGUAAAUGGUUUAAGUGGCCAAUAACUAAUCAGUGAUAUUCUCUCUCAACUUCUACGAACUAUUGAAAUAUCUAUUUCCCUAUGACGGCCAUAGAAAGACUUGAAAGUCACAUGCAUUUUCUAAGUCGAAAACACUGGACAAAAUGACCAUUUUAUGACCUUCAGAGUUCAGAGAUCACUUGUCAAAAUGUGAGUCAUAACAAAACCUUACCUGCUGGUAAGAAUUCAAUCUGCCUGAAGGAUCAAUAUAGUGCAAAGAAUUUGGAUUUCGAGGAUUUCCAUUUGAAGCUGGAUGAUUUUGCAUUUAACGAGAGGCAAGAUGAAGUUGGACCAAAUAAGAGGAAAUAAACAAAACAAACCGAUUAUAUUGCCAAUUUAUCUUCAACAAGCAAUCUCUUUCUAAUUACCUGUAAAGUCGACUGCAACCAUAAAAUUCAACUCAAAGCCACUAGAUAUGUAAUCCAGAAAACUAUAUUGCUCUUUCUCAACAAACUUUUCAACAAACAACUGACUUUUCAGAACCUAGGAAAAAGUCAGAUAAAAAAUAAAGUGAUAUUAAAUUAUCAAAAACCGUAAGCAUGAACAAACACCUUUGGUGGAGUUAAAACAAAAAAGAAUAAACACCUUGUCAUGGCCACGUUGAGUUGAUGGUAACAUAAAAGUUGCACCAGUUCUUUCUUGAUGAAGUUUCUCAAGGUCUCCAACUGAUUUCUGAAUUUUACUAAUAACAGAAAUAGAAAACCUUGACAUCAGAAAGGCAAAAGGAUAAAAGAGGGAAGCUGAUGACAUUAAGAAAUUUAACAGUUACCCCAUCAGUACGUGAUUUCCACUGGUAUUGAAAUCAAAACAUUCAAUGAUUAAUGGGUUUUCCUGUACCAAAGAGAAUCAUAAACUAAAAAACAUUUCCCCAUGACCAAACUUCACUACCUAAUAUACAUUUAAGUAACAAGCACAAGAAGAUGAUAAGGUUACCUUGCUCACAAAUUGCUGCAUGCUCAAAGUUAUUGGUCUCCAAAUGGGAUUCAAGUUAUUGUUUAUCACCUCCGUCUUGUAGAUAGGAACAGAAUUUCCACUCUCAACAAUUCUAGAUAUUCUUAAGAAUGGAUCCUAUAGAAUAUAAGAAGAAGAAGAAUGAGCAUCUAAAUUAAUAGAUUAAUUAGUGAACCUCCAAACUUAGCUACUUUGUCAGAACUUACACUUUUGGAAAACAGGUCUACAUUUUGCAAAUGUGAGCAACGGAAUGCUAUUUCAACAGCACUCUUGGAAGCAACCGUUUCCUCAGCAUGGACAGAGAGUGUCCCAAAGUUUCUUGAAACUCGAAGUCCAUAAUUGUUAUGGAGUUUUAAGGUUAAAGUUCGAUUUUGUUUGGUCACUAUCUGCCAUUUAAAAGGAAAAUAUGACACUUGUUAGUGCAAAAGAAGAAUGCUAAAGAAGAAGACGAAUGCUAGUAAAAAGCAUCUGAGAAUAUUUUGCCCUUUUUUUGAUAGGAAACAGAUUUUUACAGAAAAUUAGAUGGGCAUAUUUUGCCCAUUGAAUAAAGAGAAUACAUAAAUUCAUCAAACAAAAUAUAACCCAGAAACUUACCUCAGAGAGAACACAGCUAGCUUCUCCCAGGAAGUCUUGAUCCUCCAACUUUAGCAUCUGCAGGGCAAUGUAAAUAAGAAGUUUGAGCUUUAAACUUCACACUUCAACAAAUAUUUUGUCAUGAGAUAAUAAUGACUUGAAAGUAAUUAGGGAUCACUGCAGCAAAGAAUCAAAAGAACACUAGAUUUCCUACUUAAUGUCUUAGAAUCCAUCUGGAUUUGUUCAUUUUCUCUUUCCACUGGUAUAAAUUUACAUAUUUAUCAUUUUUCCCAGUAAUGUUAAUACCAUUUACAAUUGACAUAAAUAAUCAUCACAUUUUUAGAUUAUCUAACUGUUUUCAGCAAAUGCUUCCAAAUGAUUACAGUUUCUAGGAUUAUAACCAUCAAAAAAUUUUCAUUUUGACUCAAAUUCCACAGACGAAUACAUCAUAGGCUCUAAAGAUUUACUUAUCCAUUUCAAUACUGACAAUAUGGUCAUUUUUUACAGAAACUUCUUUAGGUCAUGGCAGCAACUAUUUAACUGUAUUGUUUUUAACAACAUAGAUCAAAAUUCCAUUUUGGAAAAAAGAAAAUUUAUCCGUAAGGACCAUCAGAAAAAUUGUUCUUUCCCAGUUAUGGUAGCAGGACAAAUAUGUCAAACCUUGCAAGAUGCAAUAGCAGAAAGUUCCAUAAUAACUACCCUGGCCUUAAGAUUUGUUUAUGGUAUAUGACAGCCAACUUUUUAAGUUUCUUUCCAUGCUAAAUGUUAGUUUAUAAUCAAUCAAGUAUUCCCAAAUUUCCCGAAAUUGAUAGAAACUAUUGCUGAUGCAAUUUAGUUUAGACGUAUGCUUAGACAACAAAUGGAUCAGUCAAAUGCCUUGGCUAACUCUAAACUUUGGAACUGAAGUAUGUGCGUAUCAUUUACAUCUGAAUUGAGAGAAAAAAAAAUAAUUAAGAAAUUUUAUACCUUCACUGGAAUAUUGUGGUACUUGGUAUCCACAUCAUACACACGAAAGCUGGAAAAAGAAGAAAAGCAUUAAGAAAUUCGAAAACAUUAAAUAUUAUCAAAUCAAGCAAGGCUUAAGCGCAUGACCUAUCAAGAAAAAAAAAACUUUAAAAAGAACACACUAAAAACUUACACCAAGGGCUGGACGAUCUCAAACUGAAAAGCAAUUGAAAUCUUUCCAAUCCAAGCAGGAUUCAAAUUGUUCAUAAUCACCUCUGUACGUCCAAUCUCGUCCAGCCUCCCAUCUCUUUUCUUUGCAUACACAACUGCCGUGGGAUCACUCUAUGACACAAAAAGACAUGUAAAUACAUUUGCUUGUGAAUAUAAAAAUAAUAAAAAAAAAAACAGAAGGCAUAUGGGUAUGUAUCCACUUAUGUCAUAUAAAUAUAGACAUAUAUUAGUUAAAUAACUUUAGUUGUCAUAUAAAUAUAGACAUUUAUUAGUUAAAUAACUUUAGUUAGUAAUCCAUCGUUAAAAUACAGCAGCAUUUUAUGUAUGCUAGUAUCAGCCAGUAAAAAGAUAUACGGCUGAUAAAUGUUCAUUAUCAAAGAAUUUUAUCUUGCACAUAUAACAUAUUUGACUAGUGCUCAAAAUUGCAAAAACAAUAAAACCACCAACCAUGACUUGUUAUACAUUAUCUGGAACUCUCAAGUUACUGCUCCUUACUGGAUUACAUUGGAGAUAGACAGUGUAUAUAACAAACUAUUCUUCUUUGUCUAAGUUUAGAAUUUUGGUGCCAGCACUAAGCGUUAUUAAGAUCAUAUAUCCCUAGACCCUUUAUGAACAGAGAAAGGAAAUUGACAGGGCCAUUAUGAACAAAUAAGCAGAUCAUAUAAGGAGGAUACAAGAUAACAUGAGAAUCAAUCACCAAGACUAUCAACAGCAUGAACAUGGCAUUAUCAGACAUAAGACAACAAUAAUAUGAAGGCGUACCUUUGAUGCGAUGUCAAGAUCACGUAACUUUGAAGCAGAUAAAGAUAACUGCAAUAUAUAUUCAAAAACAUAAGAACGAAUACAGAUACAUGAAAAAGCAGAAAAGGAGUAAUCCAUGCAUAUGCUGCACGAAAUGAAAAUUGUCAGUACGAUGUGGGUCAACUGACAGGCAAUAUAUAUCUGUCAUAAACAGAACAUGCAGAAAACCAUCAUUUCGGAUUCUGACAAUCACUUCUAAUAUUAAAUCUUAUAAGCAGGCAAUAAUAUAUGUAAUUAAGUUUUAUAUAACAACAGGAUGUGACACGUCAAUUACAAGCAUUGAACCACAUUUAAUUUGUUAUCAUAUGACUUGUUUCCUUUUCUCCAGGAAAGUUUCCAAGGAGAUCCUCAGGUAAGGUCCACAUCAAUACAGGAAUAUUACAAUUACUUGGUGGUCCAUGUUAUGGAAAGACAUUCUUAUCCUCGUAACAACAUAAUCCUUAAUCCACAAUUUUUUAUAAAGUUAAUGGUUUGUCUUAUGCAAACCAGCAUUCACAAAAUCAUGUUCCAUUCAGGAGAGCAUUAUCAUGGGGAAUCUUCACAGUGGUACAAGUCAAAUUUGAUCACGAGGGGUAUGAGUCAAAUUUGAUAAAUGAGGCAUAACAGAAUAGUCAACUUUGAGGAUACACAGGAAAACCACUGUGCAUUCAACAGGAUCAAACAUCAACUUUCUCAACGUUCACAAGGCCUUUGUGCAUUCAACACCAUUCUUUUUUUAUUUACGUUAUCCAAUCUUAAUCUAAAAUUCACUUCACAGAAUGUUGUCAUUGGGUAUAAGCAGUUAAACUUACUGUUCUCCCUAUGCAAAACAAAAGCAGUUGCUUGGUGUGAAACCGUCAAACCAACACCAGCAAAAGAUCAGCCACAAGAAAAAAAAAAAUGCUUCUCAAAGAAGCACUUGACAGGCGAAUAUUCUUUUGAGAAGGUGCUUAACUCCUUUGUCCUUUGAAGAAGCACCAAGUAAAAUAUUCGCCCUCCAAAAUUCCGAAUACUUCUCUUACAUUAUUAAAAAAAGGCAUGUUUGGAAUUGCAGUUGAUUCUUGAAUAAGAAUUUACUCCCGAUUAUGUUCGAAUUAUCAAAUAAUUUUUAUCAAAUAUAAACAAUUUAAGUUGUUCUUUUAGGGAUGUUACACUGACAAGUCAUCAAAGAAGUAAUAAUAACAAACAUAAUUUGGGUAUAGAUUUUCAAACGAGUGACCAUUUGAGAAUCCAUCACAAUUACAGAAACCAACGAAGUCAGAUUUAAAAAAGUAAAAUAAAAAAUUAUAAAUAAAUUAAAAAACAUAAACUAAUCAUAAAUUUACAAAUUUUUAAUUAAUUAAUUAAUUAAUUAACUGAAAAUAGUUUAUUAAUAGUGGCAGCGAAAGACUCAUAUAAAUUCAGGUAUACAGAUAUACCUCGAUUUGGGUGAAAAGGGCUUGAAGACCGCGAGAUUUGAAGAAGAAAUCAACGGCGUCGUUUUGUCCAGAAACAUUGUUCUGAUCAGCCGCGGUGGUGGGCCGAAGCUGGGCCCCACCUACGGCUUGUUUCCCUCCCCUCACAUCACUCCCAGACAAACAUAAUCCCAUCUGUUUUUUUUUUUCUCUCUCUCUGUCUUUAUUCUCAAGAGUACGGAGUCUCACUGUUCGGUCGAUGUUCUUUAAUCGCUCAAAUCCGUAGCCUCUGACAGAGAACUGGGGCGGGGCUUUACUUUUGCCCUCUAUUUAUAGGCUUCUGCGCUUGAGUCGUAUUUGAAUUUGACUCUGUUUCUGCUGCGAAAAUGUCAAGAAAAAAAAAAAAGUUUUUUUUUUUUUGUAUUUGAAUUUGAAUACUUCUAGGGGGAUUGAUGAUGGAUUGUUUUACUGUAUUUGGAAGUUGGAACGUUUAGGCCCACCUAAUUAUCAUUAAUAAUAGAUAGUUAUAUCAAAAUUUACCAACUUCAUUUUAGCUAUGAUAUUAGCUUGCGCACUAUGAAAUGAUUAGGUUUUGUAAAUUUUUUUUUUUUUUUUUACAGUAUCUUAGAGAAUAAGUUUCCAUUGUAUGUAACCGGCUAGAGCCCCUCCCUCACAAAUGUGAGGGAAGGGGUUCGAGCCUCCGCAGUCGCAUUGUAGGGGUUUAAUUUAAAUAUCCUUCCUUGUAGCCCUUGAGCUCGAGUGAAGGCAGUCUUUCUCCCAGGAUGGGAGUUUGACAUCCCUCGAAUAUUUGAGAGGGUUAAAAAAUCUUAGCGGUGCCAUAUCAGCAUUAAUGUCAACAGAGCUCAGUAUAAAUAUAUGAUUGUACAUAUCAAUUAUACUCUCAUGUAAUAUGAGUUAAGCCCUUGAGCUCGAGUGAAGGCAGUCUUUCUCCCAGGAUGGGAGUUUGACAUCCCUCGAAUAUUUGAGAGGGUUAAAAAAUCUGAGCGGUGCCAUAUCAGCAUUAAUGUUUAAGACAAAUUCUAGAAUCUAAAGUAAAGAAUCGGUAAAUUUAUAAAGAAAUAUGAAGAAACAGCAAGGUAUUGAAGAAUUCAAUUUCUCAUUAUAUUUGGACAUUUGGACGUCAUUAAUGUUAAUUGAUUUUUUUCCGCGUAAAAAAGUUUCGGAUUUAUUUUGUUCCUCCAAACGCCAUUCAUUGGAAAUAAGUUUAUUUUUCUGACAACUUCAACUCAUAAAUUUUAAUUAUUUUGUUAUAAUAAUAGUACGAACAAUUCUAUGUAUUACGAACAAAAAAAAAAAAGAAUCUUAAUUUUAUAUCAUAUAUAAUUAUAUAUAUAUAGACUCAAUAAGAGUAUUAUUUAUCAUGUAAUUUAUUAAACUAAUCUCACCUAAAAAGUUGUUGAGAAAAGACAGUAAGUUAAUAAAUAUUUCGUCUUCCCCAAGGUUUUUGAUUAGAAGAAUGACUUGAUAUGGCUGAUAUUGAUAAAUUAAAAAGGGAAAAAUAAUAAACAAUGGAGGAAUUUUCAAAUUAGGUCAACAAUCGUAGUCUAUUUUAUUUCGUAAUAAUGGCAAUGACGAAGCCCUUAUAACAUAAGCUUGCAAACGUAAUCAAGAUAUCCGUGGAAAACAAGCAACAAUUCCAAUGGGGUGGAAUAAAAUGUCUAAUAUUUAAAUUUUUUAUUUCAAUUUCUGUUUAUAUAAUUUAUUUAAUUUAUAAUAAAGAUGAAUAAUUAAAUAAAUUUUAAAAUAUCUUAAAAUAAGAAUAAUACUAUAAAAUUAUGAUAAAUGAAAGUUAUUGAUUAUUAUGAAAACAAUAAGAAGAGAAAUGGUAUGUAUUAAUUUCUACAUGAAGGAAACUGCCAACCUCCCUUUAAUAUGUUGUGACAAUCAUUAGAAUUUCAAUAAAAUGAUAAACUCCUCUACAUAAUCGAUAGUCAUUGAUCACGUACGUGUACAUUUAAGUUGGAAAAAAGAAGAAGAAGAUAAUUCAAGUAUAAUAAAAUCAGAAUGCGUAUGUCAUAACUAAUUUCACUAAAUGGUUAUAAUACGUUUUAUGCACUUGAGAUUUUCUCAAAAUGAGAAAAGAAAAAGGCUCAUUAGUCACUCCUAUAUAUAUGUGUGUGUGUGCGCGCGCGCUUAAACUUAACUCAGGAUAAUCUAUAUUAUAUAGAACGUAAAAUUGAGUUACGUAUAAAAACGUAACUCAAGUGUCACAUUAUACGGCGCGCUUAAACUUUGAUAAUCUAUAUUAUAUGCCCAUAAAAUCAAGAAUUUUACAAUACAUUAAAACCAAUACAAUCAUCUAAUGUAUAUAUAAUAUAUAUAGUUAAAUUUGAUAUAAUCAUCAAUUGCAUGAUAAUUUUACAAAAUAUAAAUAUUAUCUAUUUGUUGAAUGACUAACUUUGUAGUAUGAUGUUUAUAGAAUUUUUCCGUAAAAUCAUUAUUGUAAUGAGGAUUGUUGAGGGACGUGUUAUUAAUGAAAAGGACUGCACAUGUUAUCCAAUAAUUGAGACACUUGUCUUGUUAGAGGACAUUUUCAAAGAUUAAAGGUAUAGAAGCCAUUUGCAAAAUUUCCAAGCGUGGAGAACAUGCAUGCAUGCACGUGGAAUUCCAUGCAUAAAAUGAUAAAAUACUCGUCAAGUCUCACCUUAAAUUGUAGUUUCUAUCGUUUGCAAAGAAGUUUCAUUAUUUAGGUUGUGUUUGGGAUUGAAGUUGGGCAGCUGUAGCUUAAAAACUACAGUACUAAAGUGUUUGGUAAACACUAGCUGCUGUAACUUUUAAGCUAUAUUGAUAUGAUUUUUCACUUGUAUAAUACAAAAUCUAUUAUAUCUUUAAUAAUUUUAUCAAAAUUAUUAUUUAAAAUUUAUAUUUACUAUAUAUUAUUAACUUUUAUUUCAUAAUUACAGCUUGUUUUUCACAACAGCUGUAGCUUAAAAGCUACAGCACCUCAAUCCCAAACGCACCCUUAAUUUCCAAAUCUUGGGUCGUGCCGCCUCGUACAUGAAUAAGAUUACUUGCCACGAUUACCAAUUUUUUAUCACUUUAUUAAUUCCUUUUCUUCCUAUACAUGAAUCUUGUUAAAUUUUACUUGCUAUUUUACUUUUUUUUUUUAAUUUUAAAUUCUUUUCUAUAUCAUACUUUGAAUCUUGUUUAAGGAAUCUUUGUAUUCUUUUGUCCGCAUGUCAUGUGCAACACAAAUAAUAUUUUACGUUACACUUGAUAUUCAUUCAUAUAAAUUAAUCAAGGAUAAGAUAUAUAUUGCCAAAUUGAUUAAAAUAAUUAUUAAUUUAAAAUUAAUAAUUUUUUUAUCCAUAACACUGAUAAUAAAGUCCGAUUAUAUAUAGGCAUGCACACUUUUUCCAUGGGGGAUUGAUAAUAAAAUUUUAUAGUGGGUAAUUAGGUGCAACCGUGUUGGUAGAUCUACCUACCUAAUAUUAAUUAAUGAUUGAAAAGAAGAACAUUUAGUUCAUAAUUAAACCAAGAUUGAAUCUUUUUUUUUCUGUUUUUCUUUUUUAAAUGACAAAUGAGAGAUGAAUUCAAAUUAAUCAGGAAUUUUUAUCCGUUAUUUAUUAGAGUUGUGCUAGUAUUUUUUUUUUUUUAAAAAACUACUAAUUACAACAACCUUAAGUAAAACCAACAUAUAUUAUAUAGGUCAUCAUGUGAGCACAGAAUCCGACAUUCCUUUGAGACUUAUAUCUCUCUCAAAUUAAAAUACCGCAAACAAGAAUAUUAAACAAAGUAAUAAUCAAAAGGGAUAUUAUCAUUUUACUACUAAAGUUUUUCUGACAUAUCAAGUCAGUAUUAUGCUUUGGUAAAAACUACAUUUUACUACCAAACAUUUAAUUUAUUAUCACUUUACUACUUUUCCGUUAAAAAUAAGUUAAUAUUUAACGGAAUAUGAGUUAAAAGACUAUUUUAGCCAUGAAAAGAAAAGAAAUAACAAAAAAGAAAACUACAAAUUACUGUAGCACGCAUCCAUUGUAAUGUGUAACACCGUAUCACGUUUUUUGUCCUUAUUGUAAAGUGUCGUUAGAUGUAAAACGAUUGAAUCCAACGAUCAAAAUCGCUUAAUAGAUUAUUGAGGCAUGAACUGUCAACCGUUGAAGCCAGUUAUCAUCAGAACCUUUCUCCAACUCUUGAUCCUCAUUCUCCUCUCCCUGACCAUUAACUUUUUCUCCAGACCUCUCCUCUGACCUGGUCUCACCCUCAUUGCUAUCAGAUUUCUUCUUACCAUCAUCCGAAUCAGAUUUGUUGCAAGCAAUUAAUUUAUUCCCACAACUGGCUUUUGAGUGCGAAGUAGAAGAAAGCUAAGUACAAUCACACUCACAAGGCAAGCAUUUCUUCAAACCGAAUUAUUUCCCACAUCACACAUCCAAUGACAGAGUCCCCUGGUUUCUCUAUACGGCUUUCCCCUUAAUCAUUUUAACAAACAGCUUCAAUACACAAAGAUUAGAGCAAAAAAAGGAAAAAUAAUGGCUAUGUCAACGCUAGGUGAUGACGAAUUAAUGAAAACUAGUUGCCGAGGCAACUCUUGAGAGUCAAGAGUCGCCACGCAAACACAAUCGUGGUCCCUUUUUGCUGUAUAUGUAGAAAAAAAAAAAGAAGAAGCAAGCAGCACGUGGUGGGAGAAAAGAAAAGGUGGGAGAAAUCUUUUAUAAAAAAAAAAGAGAGAAAAGAAAAGUUAGAGAUUUGGCUUUGCAAAGAUGUAGGGUCCUGUGUGUGUUUGUGUUUUGUUUGUUGCUUCUUGUGCUUGGUUGACCGUGAGAGAGAGAGGGGCCGUGAGAGAGAGAGAGCGAUCGGAGAUGGAGGGUUACAAUUUGGGAAUAAAUUUUCAAACGAGCGACUAUUUAAGAAUACAUCACAAUUACAAACAUGAACGAAGUCACAUUUAAAAAAGUAAAAUAAAAAAUUAUAAAUAAAUUAAAAAACAUAAACUAAUCAUAAAUUUUUAAUUAAUUAAUUAACUGAAAAUAGUUUAUUAAUAGUGGCAGUGAAAGACUCAUAUAAUUCAGGUACACACAUAUACCUCGAUUUGGGUGAAAAGGGCAUGAAGGCCGCGAGAUUUGAAGAAGAAAUCAACGGCGUCAUUUUGACCAGAGACAUUGUGGUGAUAAGCCGCGCUGGUGGGCCGGAGGUGGGCCCCACCUACGGCUUGUUUCCCUCCCCUCACAUCACUCCCAGACAAACAUAAUCCCAUCUGUUUUUCUUUUUCUCUCUCUCUCUCUUUAUUCUCGAAAAUUAAAAAAUUAAUCGAAAAAAUUUACCUAAAAGUUUUUGCAAGUUUGUGUCAAGAGUACGGAGUCUCACUGUUCGGUUGAUGUUCUUUAAUCUCUCAAAUCCGUAGCCUCUGACAGGGAACUGGAGCGGGGCUUUAUUUAUAGGCUUUUUGCGCUUGAGUCGUCGUAUUUGAAUUUGACUCUGUUUCUCCGGCGAAAAUGUAAAGAAAUUUCUACUUUUUAAUUCAAUUGUUUUUUCAUGAGGAAAAAAAAAAGUUUUUUUUCUUAUCUAAAAGAUUUUGUCUUUUCCUUUUCCUCUCCAAAAUAUAGAAUAAUGUAGAUGAUGGAUUUUUUUACUGUAUUUGGAACGUUUAGGUCCACCUAAUUAUCAUUAAUAAUAGAUAAUUAUAUCAAAAUUUACCAACUGAUUAGGUUUUGUUAAUUUUUUUUUUACAGUAUCUUAGAGAAUAAGUUUCCAUUGUAUGAAGACAAAUUCUAGAAUUUAAAGUAAAGAAUUGGUAGAUUUGUAAAGAGAUAAAACAAAUUCUCCGGCGAAAAUGUAAAGAAAUUUCUACUUUUUAAUUCAAUUCCUUUUUAAUGAGGAAAAGAUUUUGUCUUUUCCUUUUUCUCUCCAAAAUAUAGAAUAAUGUAGAUGAUGGAUUGUUUUACUGUAUUUGGAACGUUUAGGCCCACCUAAUCAUUAAUAAUAGAUAAUAAUUAUAUCAGAAUUUACCAACUUCAUUUUAGCUAUGAUAUUAGUUUGCGCACUACCAAAUGAUUAGAUUUUAUUAAUUUUUUUUAACCAUAUCUUAGGGAAUAAGUUUAUAAAGAAAUAUGAAGAAACAGCAAGGUAUUGAAGAAUUCAAUUUCUCAUUAUAUUUGGACAUUUGGACGUCAUUAAUGUUAAUUGAUUUUUUUCCGCGUAAAAAAGUUUCGGAUUUAUUUUGUUCCUCCAAAUGCCAUUCAUUGGAUAUAAGUUUAUUUUUCUGACAACUUCAACUCAUAAAUUUUAAUUAUUUUGUUAUAAUAAUAGUACGAACAAUUCUAUGUAUUAUGACAAAAAAAAAUAAUUUAAAUUUAUAUCAUAUAUAAUUAUAUAUAGAGCUAAUGCUAAGUUACAUGCAUGUAACUUACAACCUUUUCACAUAAAUAGUGAGUGAGCUCACAUCACUCACUAUUAAUGUGAGAGGGUUAUAAGUUACAUGCAUGUAACAUAGGGGAUCCUUAUAUAUCGGCUCAAGAGUAUUAUUUAUCAUGUAAUUUAUUAAACUAAUCUCACCUAAAAAGUUGUUGAGAAAAGACAGUAAGUUAAUAUUUCUUCUUCCCCAAGGUUUUUGAUUAAAAGAAUGACUUGAUAUGGCUGAUAUUGAUAAAUUAAAAAGGGAAAAAUAAUAAACAAUGGAGGAAUUUUCAAAUUAGGUCAACAAGUAAUCUUAGUCUAUUUAAUUUCGUAAUAAUGGCAAUGACGAAGCCCUUAUAACAUAAGCUUGCAAACGUAAUCAAGAUAUCCGUGGAAAACAAGCAACAAUUGCAAUGGGGUGGAAUAAAAUGGCAUUCACAGUCAACUACUAAGAUACUGAAGGUUCAAUCGUUUAAGGGUAUUGAUAGUUUCUCCCCCGUCGAAAUUUUAUGUAAAAUAUGUACACCUCUAUUGUUUUCAUAAUAGCUAAUAAUCUUUUGGUAUGAAAAGUUUAAAGGAGAGUAAAGGUAAAUGGGUCAUUUGCUUAAUAUUUUAUUUUGAAAAUAUAAAAUAUAUAUUUACCAUAAAAAAAUAUGUUUAAAGAUAAAAAAAAAUAAGAAAACUAUAUUCAUACUAAUUUUUUAUCAACACUGAAAAUUAUAUUUCUUAUUUCUAAUCUUUAAAUUUUUUUAUUUCAAUUUCUGUUUAUAUAAUUUAUUUAAUUUAUAAUAAAGAUGAAUAAUUAAAUAAAUUUUAAAUAUCUUAAAAUAAGAAUAAUACUAUAAAAUUAUGAUGAAUGAAAGUUAUUGAUUAUUAAUUUCUACAUGAAGGAAACUGCCAACCUCCCUUUAAUAUGUUGUGACAAUCAUUAGAAUUUCAAUAAAAUGAUAAACUCCUCUACAUAAUCCAUAGUCAUUGAUCACGUACGUGUACAUUUAAGUUGGAAUAAAAAGAAGAAGAUAAUUAUAGUAUAAUAAAAUCAAAAUGCGUAAGUCAUAACUAAUUUCACUAAAUGGUUAUAAUACGUUUUAUGUACUCAAAAUGAGAAAAGAAAAAGGUUCAUUAGUCACUCCUAUAUUUAUGUGUGCGCGCGUGCGCUUAAACUUUGAUAAUUUAUAUUAUAUGCCCAUAAAAUCAAGAAUUUUAUAAUAUAUCAGAGACAAUACAAUCAUCUAAUGUAUAUAUAAUAUAUAUAGUUAAAUUUGAUAUAAUCAUCAAUUGCAUAAUAAUUUUACAAAAUAUAAAUAUUAUCUAUUUGUUGAAUGACUAUCUUUGUAGUUUGAUGUUUAUAGAAUUUUUCCGUAAAAUCUUUAUUGUAAUGAGGAUUGUUGGGGGACGUGUUAUUAAUGAAAAGGACUGCACAUGUUAUCCAAUAAUUGAGACACUUGUUAGAGGGAGAAGCCAUUUGCAAAAUUUCCAAGCGUGGGGAACAUGCAUGCAUGCACGUGGAAUUCCAUGCAUAAAAUGAUAAAAUACUCGUCAAGACUCUCCAUAAAUUGUAGUUUCUAUAGUUUGCAAAGAAGUUUCACUAUUUAAUUUCCAAGUCUUGGGUCGUGCCGCCGCGUACAUGAAUAAGAUUACUUGCCACGAUUACCAAUUUUUUAUCACUUUAUUAAUUCCUUUUCUUCCUGUACAUGAAUCUUGUUAAAUUCAACUUGCUAUUUUACUUUUUUUUUUUUUUAAAUUUUAAAUUCUUUUCUAUAUCAUACUUUGAAUCUUGUUUAAGGAAUCUUUGCAAGGAUAAGAUAUAUAUUGCCAAAUUGAUUAAAAUAAUUAUUAAUUUAAAAUUAAUAAUUCCUUUAUCCAUAACAGUACUGAUAAUAAAAUCCGAUUAUAUAUAGGCAUGCACACUUUUCCAUGGAGGAUUGAGAGUAAAAUUUUAUAGUGGGUAAUUAGGUGCAACCGUGUUGGUAGAUCUACCUACCUAAUAUUAAUUAAUGAUUGAAAAGAAGAACAUUUAGUUCAUAGUUAAACCAAGAUUGUUACAGAAAAGGGAAAAGACUAAGACAGUGCUCAUGAAGUGGAUAGAAAUAACAGAGAAAGAAAUAGCUAUAUACAAUAAAAUAUUUCUCCUAUAUAGCCAUAUAUACUUUAUAUACAAAUAAAAUAUUUCUCCUAUGUAGUCAUACUUUAUAUAGAAAUAAUUUUUAUUUAAUUAUAAAAAAGAUUUAAUCUCAAUUUAAGUUAGUUAUUAAUUUCAUACUCAAUUAAUGACACAUCAUUUGGAAUAACUUUUUGGGAUAAAAAAUUUGGGAUGUGUAGCACUACUGUCUAUGCUCUAUAUUAUAAUAAGUUAUAAUUUUUUAAGUCUUGUCUAAAAAGAAUUUGUCCCCGCAUAGUAAUUGUAUUUGUAUAUUGCAAAAAAGUAUAGACUCUUUUUUUUUAAUUAAGCCUACCUUUGCUAUCAAUUUCUGACAUAAUCCAGUAAUUAAUUAUUAAUAUAGUAAAUAUUUUACCUCUAAUUUAAUUACACGAAGGAUAACUAAGUGAAAACGAUAAUUUCUGUAACUAUAUCUUUACUAAGUUAAUUAUAAUAUUCUCGUAUUAAUAAAAUUAACUUACCCCAAUAUUAUGAUUAUAGAGAAAUUGGACUAUAUUUGCGAAUUUUGAAAAUGAUGGUCAUGACUUAUGUGCUCAAUCUGUGAUUUUACGUUGAGGUUGAUAGAGCUGAACCAUCAAAAACGUUUAAAGCAUAUUGUCGUUAGUCUUUGUUUCCGAAUAGACAAAAGUGUCAAAUACUAUGUUUAUCAAUAAGAACAUUAUUGAAUCUUUUUUUUUUUCUUUUUUAAAUGACAAAUGAGAGAUGAAUUCAAAUUAAUUAGGAAUUUUUAUCCGUUAUUUAUUAGAGUUGUGCUAGUUAUUUUUUUAAAAAAACUACUAAUUACAACAACCUUAAGUAAAACCAACAUAUAUUAUAUAGCUCAUCAUGUGAGCACAGAAUCCGACAUUCCUUUGAGACUUAUAUCUCUCUCAAAUUAAAAUGCCGCAAUCAAGAAUAUUAAACAAAGUAAUAAUCAAAAUAACAUUUUCCUUGCAACGACUCAUUAUGAUUCCUAGUGAAAUGGUUCGUUCGACCAAAAAAUGCUGGAAAAAAUGUAAUUCAAGUUGGCUUCCUCUUUCAUUCAGUUCAGAACUUUAGAUUAUUUGGUGUAAAUGAAGGGAAAAUGCCUACGAAUAUGUUUUCAGCUUGCCCGUCGUCUUUGGCCAGCUUCGAGUUGUUUUCGUAAUUACGUCGUCACAAAGACUGAUGCGGAGUAUGUAGAAAAUAGAAAAAGUCAUUCAAAGCCGUACAAAAGUGGAUAACCAAUCCAAUCCACUUUUGGCUCGUCAUUGAGUUCGAGGAUUUGACAAAUCACUUUUUGGUCUCCGGCGUGUGGUAUACACACUCCCUUUUAAUUACUAUUAACACCAUGUAUACAUAAAAGAUUUCAACCCUCCACAUGUAAGACCAUCGCUAAACCAAUAAGUUGUUCUCAGCACAAAAUGAAUAUUACUUAGUUAUGUCAUAAUUUUAUUAAUAAAGAAAGAAAUUAAUCUACAUCUUUUUUAAAAAUAAUUUUAAAAUUUGUUAAAUAGGCAAAUAUGGUUUUAAUCCCCAUAGUUUGAGUCAAUUAUUCAGUUUGGUCAAAUAUUAUAUUUUAAAAGAUUAUCUAAAUUAAGCAUCUCUUUACUUACUUUCUUAAUUAGUUGUUGGACAUAAAUUUUCAAAGCUAAAUUCUAUAUGAUAAAUUUUAAAACUCAAACUAAUUUAAUAUAUAGCAGAUAAAAGAUAAAAAAAUAAUUAAGUAAAUUUUAACCAAAAAAUAUAUAUAUCACGUAGAUUUUUUUGAGUAAAUUUCUAAAAAUAUAUUGACUCCUCCAUGGGUACGUAAACUACAGGGACAUUAUUGACUAUUCGUUGUGCGUGCACGUACAAUGACAUGUCAUGAGUUAUCCAUGGAGACUUUUCCAAGACAACAUUUUGUGAUGUACUAUAUGCAUACUUAAUUACAAGUGCAUUUGUUGGGUACAUGCAUGCAUGGACGUGGAAUUCCAUGCAUAAAAUGAUAAAAAUACUUUUUCAAUUUUUCUCAGUUUAAUUUGCAAAGAUGUUUCACCAUUAAUUUGAAGUCUUUAGGUCCGGAAAUCUCUAUUGAUCGUAUAUUUGUUCGUCUCUUGGCACACGCGCACACGCACACGCACAUCAAUAGAGUAAAACUAGUGCAAGAUAAAUCCACAUUAAUUUUAUUUUAUUUCUAAACAUUCUAUUAAAUUUCUCUAUUUUAGAGUCAAGUCAAAGUUGUACAAAAUGAAAAAGAGGGGGUUAAAAUGGAUGGAAAUGAGAAUAAAGAAAAUAGCUAGCUUUUUGAAGGAUCUUUUGAAGACGAUAGGCUUGUGCUCUUAUCACGAAGCUUUUACGUCUAAAACUGGUAGAAUUGACCCAGCAAAAAGGUUUAAUGAAUCCCCGUGAGAGUCUUUAAUGUGUUUCUGAGAAGAUAAUCAAUUAAUUAACAGCACCAAUUAAGUAGUUGAAUGAUCUACUAAGCAAGUUCAUAAAAUCUUAAUGUAUUCUAAUUGUUCGGAGAAAGUAUUUAAGAUCGAAUGAAAGAUGAAUUUCAAGAACUCUUCCAAUUGCAACCAGUCAUCAUGGAUAUUCCAAUCAGUGAAGGAUUCUUUCGACACAAGGAAAAAUAAAAGAUAAAAAAGGGUCAAUAAAGACGAUGGAGAAUAUUCGUAUAAAGUCUUUAACGUAUGUAAAUGUAAUGUAACUUUAAUUUGACAGCUGCCGCUGUGACGAAUCCCUUGCAACGUAAGCACAAUGACACAAAAGAGAGAGUGGAACACAAGCUAUCCAAAUUAAGUCAGUCAAGGUAGGUCAAACUAUCUUGCCAUUGUCGUUUUCGGGGAAAAAAUGUUAGAAUAAAAUGUUAAAAGAAAAUUUAGAAUGUCUGCUAACUACUAAUAUGAGAAGAGUAAUAAAGACUUUAGAAAAAAAAAAAAAACAGUUAGUGGCAGACAAUUAAUAGUUGUAAAAGGCUUAAAGUUGUUUCAUAUAACAUUUUAGAAUAAACUUCAAUUUGCACCUCACUUAAAAUGAUAGUCUUCGAUUUACUUCCAGGAGGAUAAGGCUCAAACUCACGUCUUUGGCCCUAAGAAGGCAAUGCUCGAGAUAAGUCUUUGGCUCUAUUAUCGACCAUACAAAGAACAUGCAUCUCUUUUUUAUUUUUCCCCCCCAAAAAAAAAGAAAUCCAUCACCGCAUCCUCAAUUUACUCUCACCUUAUUGAAUGAAAAUGAAGGCUAAAUUGAUAUUUUCACUCUUUUAGGUGAUAAAAUCAAGAUUGUUGUUCUAUCGGGAGAAUGAAUUAAAAUUUACCAACUUUUAAAAUUAGAUUUCUCCGGUAUGUCUCGAAAUGAUUGAGGCUAUAAUAAGUAUAGGUUUUAAUAAAAAGAAAUAUCGGUGGAUUGGUUGUCAAAUAUUCCCUUCACAAAGACAAAAUAUAGAUUUUAUUCUAAUUCUUCAUAGGCUUUAUUUGAUUAUUUCCAAUAACAAUCCAUUAUAACAGUGAAUAGCUUUCUGUCAAGAUUAAAAAAAAAAAUGGCAGCCGAAGUUAGUUAAGAUAUUGGAUUAGAAACACAGUUUGAGAAGCCAAACAAAAACGAUUCCUUGCAAGAAAUGUAUUAAAAACCUUGAAUCACUCAAUAUGUGUAACAAAUUUUCAAGUUACCUUCAAAAUUCCCAAAGCAAACUUGGCCAAAAUUUAAUUUUCCUCCCACAGAAACAAUUUUUUUUGCUUUGAGCAGGUAACUUUCACAGUAGGCUUUUCAACUCAAAAAAAGUCAUAUGCUAGUUAAAGACAAAUCCAGGUCUUCUAAAAGUAGCUUAGGAACCCUCGCUGCGAUAGGAAAUUCUUGUGCAUGAACAUGCAACUCAAGCAAGCACACAUUAUGACAUAAUGGAACCAAAUUAAGUGUCGAACAAAAUACAGAAUGAAAAGAGUUAUAUCAUUGGUAGAAAGUUGUAUUGCUAACUGCUUGACACCAUCAUUCAACUAAUUUUAUGGCCUGACCAUCAGUGACAAAAUGCAACAAAUAUUUUCUAUGAAGUCAUAAAGUUUCCCAAGAGAGCUAAUUGGUUUGACAGGUUUAAAAUAUACUUUCAACGCAAAAAAGCUGUCUACAAUUAAACUUUUAUUAAGACUCAUAUACAGAAAGAAAUUUGCUAACGAAGAAACAAACAGUACAAAGGAUGAAUAGUAAAAAUGUCAUCGGUAACACAUAGAUGGACCGGAAAAGGAGUACCUUGAUGAUACUGGUGCAGCUACCAAAUCUGGCUUGCGCCCUUCGUAUGGGUGUUGCCUGUUGUAGUUUGAUAAAGCACUUGUGGCAUACAAUGAGUAUAGCCUAUCAGCUUGAUCAGUUUCUCCCCUUCUUAAGGGAUCAGUUCCGACCAAAUAAUGUUCUCUCUGUCUAGCAGCGGAGUAGGAACCUGAGGUGAUGUCUUCUCUCCUCAAGAAGGGGAUCUGGCUUGGUCUUCUCGCUGCACAUAAACAUCAAACCAUCAAGCUUAUCUUUUCUCAUUUCCUUCUCUUGGCUCUUUCCUGCGUCUCCUUGUUUCUCUUUGUCCUUGUGAUGCUUCGAACUCGUCUGACACAGGAAUCUUCUCUACACAUCUUUGCUUCCAGUGAUUUUUAUCUGCCCCACCAAUCUCCUCUUCACAUCUUUGUUUCCGGUGAUUCUUAUCGGACCGACCAAUCUCCUCUUGCUUCUUUUUUAUUCUGCUGGCUUGUCUUGGGUCCUUUUCUUUAGAAAGGUUCUCAUUUAGGUUUUCUUCCCUUGCAUUUAGCUUCUUAGAACUCUCUCCUUCAAUGUUGUUAUUAUCUCAUUUAGGUUUCCCUCUCUUGAAUUUAGCUUCUUAGAACUCUCUCCUUCAAUGCUGUUAUUAUCAUUCUUCUCAUCUAAUAAAUUUUUGUUCUUCUUCCUUCUGAAUCUACUCCAAGCUCGUGCAGCAACUUUGGCGUUUUCGGUCUUCAAGUCAUUAACUGGUGACUUUGUUAAGCAAAUAAAAGCACCAGGUCGGCCAUGCUACUAUUUCCACCCCGGCACGAAUCACCUCAGCCAAAUGGUACGAGCAGAACAGGGGGCAACAUGAGCUGAUCAGAGACGAAUACUGACCAGAGGUAUAUACCGAGCCGAUACACGUCCCCCAAAAAGCGGAAACACGAUCUCACAGAAUCACGGUAGUUGCGCUUUCCCCAGAACCGUUGCGGGAGACGCGAGAUCCCACGUUUGCCCAUAAUGCAGCAGUUAGAGUCCCAUGAGGGGCUGCCACUACCCGAAAAAGGUGGGAUGAAGGGCAAACGAGAACGUGGGGACAGCGGCUAUAAAAGAAGAAGAAAUCGAUGAAGAAAGGGAUAGAAAAAUUGAGAGAAGGGAAAACUCUGCCAAAUUGCAACCAGGCCAUUUUCUUACAGAUUUCGAACAAACCUCUUGAAUCCAAAUUGUAUUGUUUUCCCGUAAACACCUUGUACUAACUUAGGCAUCGGAGGGUUUACGCCGGCAAAACCACCGGCGUCUCUGAUCCGUUUUUGGUGAACGCAGGUCUAGUAAGAGAAUGGAGGGUGAUUCCAACCUUAGUGGUUCGAGCAACAGUCGAUAACAUAAACGUUGGUGAAAGGAUUUGGUCGGUCAAAAGGGCGAGCAGAUUUCGGCAUCAACAUUUUGGCGCCGUCUGUGGGGAGCUGGAUAAAAAGCUACCACCGAAUUAGUAGUUACCGGAGAAACAACGAACGAUUAGACAUGGAUUUGCCAAGGAAGGACGCUUUGAGGGAGGAUAACGAAGCUGGGGAGACAAUCACUCUUCGGGAAAUUGCAAAUGAGGCCUGGGAGAGGAUGAUGCAAGAUCGAUUUGAGCGGAUGGAGAAACAAAUGGAAACUCUCGCAACCAUACUGCACGAGCUGAGAGAUGAGCGGAGAAGGGAUUGUGAAACCUCCGGGGGGAGAGAUGAUGUUGGAGCAGAACCCAGCCUCCAGAGUCGUAGAGUCGAGGAAAUUCCUCCGCCUGCAGACCAACCUAACGGGGUGCAUCCCCACAGAAGCGUUGGUCCGGUUUCAGGAGAACGAGUAGAUGAAGGAAGGGACCAGCCUCUCCCCGGACGGGUACUGGAAGUCAAUAGCCGAGGGGCCAUUGUUGAUGAAAGAGAGCUCAGACAUUGGUUGCACAAUGCCGAGCUAGAACGAGACCGGAUGGCUGUACGUGAUCCUGACCGUGCCGUAGAAUUAGAAGGGGAGGUGCGCAGAUUGGCGCAGGUGAUGGAGGAGAUACAAGGCAAGAGAAAGCCCCCGAGCUGGAGGAUAAUGCUGGAUGAAGAAUCCCUGUUAUCAACCGAGAUCAUGGGUACGGUAAUCCCAAGAGAUUUCCGCUUCCCCGACCUCAAAUACUCCGGUCGAAGUGACCCUCUGGUGCAUAUUGAGCGUUUCAACGAUAUGACGGGGGUGCAGGGGUUGACACCAGCUCAGAAGUGUAGGGUGUUCCCGUUGACUCUCGAGGGGCGAGCCCGAGAAUGGUACCGCAAGCUGCCCCGAUGAGGUAUAAAAGGGUACGAGCAGAUGUGCCAAGAGUUAGCCGAAUAGUUCCGAGGGGCGGUAACCUCAGAGGAUGACAUGAUGGAACUGAUGGGGAUGAAACAGGAGGAGCAUGAGUCCCUUCGGGAUUUUGUAAAGCGAUAUCACCGGGCCGUGCUAGAUUUGGGAGCCAUUAAUCACCCAUAGGCGCUGAUGGGAUUAAAAGAAGGUGUAAGAAUUGGCCGAUUGUGGUAUAACUUGAGAAGCCCCCUGGUGCAGAAUUAUUCGGCGGGGUAUGAACAGGAGAGGCGAGACAUAGAAUUCGAAGAGGAGAAAUCGGCAAGGAUAAAGAGUGAACAACUAGAAGAGUUGAGGCGAAAAGAACGGAGAGUCCCGAUCGGGAGCAGAUCGGGAAAGCGAGCUGGGGAAUCAUCAGUUAUGGGCGGAAUAUCAGCUCGGUCCCGCCCUUACCCCAUAGCUCAGAGGCCACAACAGUUCCAACACAGCCGAGCCCAACCUCCGCGCACCCCGUUCCCGGAGCGGCAACGAGAAUUCAGGCAGAUGACUGCCCACCCUUAUCACAACACUCCCAGAGGGUUACAUGCAACUGGUUCCAGGGCUGGACGACCAGAUCAACUAGCGACUGUACCAGCCCGAGAUGACAUUCAUGAUAGCCGAGUAGUUCAGCUAGUAGACCAGCGCUUGGCAUAUAGACAGUACACUCCAUUAAAGAUCUCCAUGGAGGAAUUGUAUGAGAGGAUCGAGGGAUGAAGCCUGCUGUACCCUCCAGUCCCUAUAACAAAACCGGCUCACCGACGGGAUAAGAGCAGAUUCUACAAAUUUCACAACACUCACGGUCACACUGUCAGCCAAUGUCGUGACCUGAAGACUCAGGUGGAGGAUUUAGUGAGGAACCGAUACUUGGAUGAGUAUGUAGAUGGAAUGUCCCCCGUCAUUGAAUCACAGUACACGCGGGAUGAAGAAAAUGAGAGGGGCCUGGAACGUGAACAGCCAACUAUCCACGUGAUAGCAGGAGGGCCAACCUUGGCUGGGGAUUCGAACAGGGCACGGAAGAACCAUGGGAGAUACGCCCUGACUAGCAAAGAAGUGCUUUUCAAUCUGCCAGCAACCAAGAAGGCAAAAGUGCGGCAAGUUCCUAUUAUGUGGACAGAUGACGAUGAAGAGGGUAUCUUAUAUCCUCAUGAAGAUGCAUUGGUGAUUAAGGCAAUGGUGGCCGGUACAGAAUUGCGACGAAUACUAGUAGACACAGGCAGCUCGGUUGACAUCCUGUUUAAGUCGGCUCUAGAUGAUAUGGGGAUUGCAGACUUGAAAUUGGAGCGGACAAAUACAUCCUUAAAGGGAUUUGGAGGGGGACGGCUAACUCCCAUGGGGAUCAUCGAACUCCCAGUUACUAUGGAGACAAAGCCAUUUGAAAGAACGAUGAUGCUGGACUUUGUCGUGGUAGAGGAAAGAAGCCCUUACCAGAUGAUACUGGGGAGACCAUUCAUGAGGAUAAGCCAAUGCGUUGUAUCCACGCAUUACUUGGCACUGAAGUACAGAGUAAAUGGGGUGGUUGGUGUAGUAAAAGGUGACCAGAGAAUGGCAAGGAGCUGUUAUGCUACAGCAGCCAAGGAGACACUACAGGUUACUUCUCUAGAUAAUCGAGGAGAUUCUAAAAAGGGUCGCCAAGAGCCUGUCGAGAAACUAGAAGAGAUUUUGAUAAGCAAAAACAAUCCGAGCAGAGUGGUUAGGAUCGGAUCAGGUUUGGUCGGGGCAGUGAAAGGCGAGUUGGUGAAGUGCUUACAGUCUCACGCAGACAUAUUCGCCUGGUCUCACGAGGACAUACCAGGAAUUGAUCGUGAGGUAGCUUGCCAUAAAUUGGCAAUCAAGAAGGGGGCGAGGCCGGUGAGGCAGAAAAGAAGAUGCUUUAACCAAGAAAGGUACGAAGCCAUAAAUGCCGAGGUGGAGAAGCUGUUAAAAGCAGGAUUUAUAAGGGAGGCCAAAUACCCGGAGUGGAUUUCCAACGUAGUACUGGUAAAGAAGGCCAACGGGAAAUAGAGAAUGUGUGUGGAUUUCACAAACCUUAAUAAGGCAUGCCCGAAGGACAAUUUUCCCUUACCAAAGAUAGAUCAAUUGGUAGACUCCAUAGCGGGUCACAGUCUGCUCAGCUUCAUGGAUGCCUUUUCAGGAUACAACCAGAUACCCAUGGACGAGCAGGAUAAGGAGAACACCACCUUUAUAACUAACAUGGGUUUGUUUUGCUACAUGGUGAUGCCUUUCGGCCUGAAAAAUACAGGAGCUACCUAUCAAAGGUUGGUGAACCAGAUCUUCAAGCCCUUGAUCGAUCAUACAAUGGAGGUAUAUGUGGACGAUAUGAUCACAAAGUCUAAAGAACCGAGGGAUCACGUGAAGCACCUUGAAGAAACCUUUGAGUUACUGAGGAAGUAUGAAAUGAAGCUAAACCCGGAGAAAUGUGCAUUUGGGGUCAGCUCGGGCAAAUUUUUGGGAUUCCUGGUGAGUCACCAAGGGAUUGAGGCCAACCCAGAAAAAAUACGGGCGGUUACGGAGAUGAGGUCUCCACGGACAGUUAAGGAGGUGCAGAGCCUUACAGGGAAGUUGGCAACACUGAACCGAUUCAUCUCGAGGGCCACAGAUAAAUGCCACCCUUUCUUCCAAACCAUAAAGAAAUGGAGAAAGAUGGAGUGGACAUCAGAGUGCGAAGAAGCAUUUGGGCAGCUGAAGGAAUAUCUGACCCGCGCCCCGUUGCUAUCAACUCCAAGAGCGGGUGACCAGCUGUUUCUGUACUUAGCAAUCUCUAAAUGGGCUACCAGCUCGGUUUUGGUCAGGGAAGAAGAAGGAAAGCAACACCCGGUAUACUACACAAGCAAGGCCCUGGUAGACGCAGAAACCAGAUAUCCAUUGCUGGAGAGAUGGGCGUUGGCUCUAAUAAUGGCAGCACGAAAACUCCGACCAUAUUUUCAGGCCCACCAGAUUGUUGUGAUGACUGACCAGUCCCUUCGUCAAACGCUUCAAAAAACAGAUGCAUCCGGUCGGUUAGUAAAAUGGUCCGUGGAGCUAAGCGAAUUUGACCUAUCCUACAGGCCCCGAGGAGCAAUCAAAGCUCAAGCUUUGGCAGAAUUUAUGGUAGACCGAGCUGAGCCAGGGGAAGAAAUUCGGGAGGAGCAACCGAUAGAGCAGGAGAAACCAGAGGGGGUGUGGCUAGUAAUGGUUGACGGAUCAUGUAGUGAGCAAGGGUCAGGAGCAGGAGUUGUAAUACGAAGCCCAGAAGGAACCGAAAUAAUGUAUGCAGUGAAGUUCGAAUUUCAGUUCACGAACAACCAAGCUGAAUAUGAAGCCUUUAUCACCGGGCUCGGACUGGCACACGCUUUAAGAGCAGAGAUGGUAGAAAUUCGAGCGGACUCCCAAUUAGUAUGUAAUCAGCUCAAUGACCAGUUCCAAGCAAGGGGAGAGAAGAUGGGUCUUUAUCUGAAGAAAGCAAAGCAGAUGGUUGGGCUUUUCCAAGAGGUGGAGGUAAACCAGAUAUAUCGGAAUGAGAAUUACCGAGCAGAUAUGUUGGCUAGGAUGGCUGCAAUUGCAGAUCCGAAAUUACCUAAGUCGGUUCCACUAGAGGUAAAGACCUCACCAAGUAUAGGAGAGGAGGUAGAGGUGAUGAGAGUAAGCAUUGGAGAGUCAUGGAUGGACCCGAUUCGCGCAUAUGUCCGGGAUGGAAUCUUACCAGAGGACAAAAGGCAAGCAAGGAUAUUAAAAUGCCGAGCAGCGAGGUACACGCUACUAGAUGGAGUGCUGUAUCGCCGAGGAUUCACCUUGCCCCUUUUGAGAUGUGUGGAUGAUGAGGAGGCAGAUUAUGUACUGAGGGAGAUUCAUGAAGGAAUAUGCGGCAAUCACUCGGGAGCAAGAACUUUAGCCUUCAAGGCACUCCGACAAGGAUACUUCUGGCCAACCAUGCACCAGGAUGCGAAAAGGAUGGCAAAGAACUGUAAAACCUGCCAAAGCUUCUCUGAGGUUCCUGCACAACCCCCAGAAAAGCUGACCACUAUGACAUCCCCGUGGCCUUUCGCUCAAUGGGGAAUCAACUUGAUUGGUCCGUUGCCUAAAGGCCGAGGAGCGGCGACACAUGCAAUUGUGGUAAUAGACUACUUCACCAAGUGGGUAGAAGUGGGAGUCCUCAGCCAAAUCACGGAGAGGAAGACAACAGAUUUUAUUUGGAGGAAUAUCAUCUGCAGAUACGGGAUCUCCUAUGCUAUCAUUACAGACAAUGGGAGACAAUUUGACAACAGCAACUUCAGGAAAUUUUGCCGAAAUUUGGGGGUGGACCUGAAGUUCUGCACCCCCGCACACCCCCAGGCAAACGGACAAGUGGAAGCAGCCAACAAAGUAAUAAAGAAGCUCUUGAAAACUAGAUUGGGAGAGAAGAAGGGAGCCUGGGUUGACGAACUACCAGGAGUAUUAUGGGCUUACCGGACAACUCACAAAACCGCCACAGGGGAAACCCCGUUCGCUUUAGCUUUUGGUCAUGAGGCGGUAGUCCCAGCAGAAAUCGGAGUGGGGACACAUCGAACGAAAUAUUUCGCUGAGGAGCAAAACGACGAGCAGAUCUGCUUAAGCCUGGACCUGCUUGAGGAGAAAAGGGAAGGGGCCUCGCAGAAAGUGGCCCAGUGUCAGCAACGGGUCAUGCGCUAUUACAACAAGAACGUACGCAUGAGGCAGUUCCGAGCAGGAGAUUGGGCACUUAGGAAGGUGGACCAAAACACCAGGGAUCCUAACCAUGGCGCUCUUGGCCCAAAAUGGGAAGGCCUGUACAGAGUGAUACGAGCCACUGGACCAGGAGCUUAUAAGUUAGCGUACCAAGAUGGACGAGACGUGAAGAGGUCAUGGAACGCCGAGCACUUGAAGAAGUAUUUCCAGUAAGCAAAGUGCUCUCCUAAAUCCUCAUUUUGACAAAUUGUUUGUGUUAACUGCAUGAUGACUUGAUGCAUAUGUAUGUAUUCAGUAUUUUUGUAAUACAUUCAAGUUUCAAAUAAAGAUGAAUUCAGCAUGAAAUCCCCCUGCUAGCAAGCCAAAUAAAAAUUUUACUAAGGCAAAUAAGUGCCUAUUUCUGCUCGGUCAACGAAAGAUCAGCAGCUAAUUUUACGAGAAUUUUUACUAAGGCAAGCAAGUGCAUGUUUCUGCUCGGUCAACGAAAGAUCAGCAGCUAAUUCUACAAAAAUUCUACUAAGGCAAGCAAGUGCCUGUUUCUGCUCGGUCAACGAAAGACCAGCAGCUAAUUCUACAAAAAUUCUACUAAGGCAAAUAAGUGCCUGUUUAUGCUCGGUCAGCGAAAGAUCAGCAGCUAAUUUUACGAGAAUUUUUACUAAGGCAAGCAAGUGCCUGUUUCUGCUCGGUCAACGAAAGACCAGCAACUAAUUCUACAAAAAUUCUACUAAGGCAAAUAAGUGCCUGCUUCUGUUCGGUCAGCGAAAGAUCAGCAGCUAAUUUUACGGAAUUUUUACUAAGGCAAGCAAGUGCCUGUUUCUGCUCAGUCAGCGAAAGAUCAGCAGUUAAUUUUACAAGAAUUUUAACUAAGGCAAGCAAGUGCCUGUUUCUGCUCGGUCAAAGAAAGACCAGCAACUAAUUCCACAAAAUUCUACUAAGGCAAAUAAGUGCCUAUUUCUACUCGGUCAACGAAAGACCAGCAGCUAUUUUAACGAAAGUUUUACUAAGGCAAGUAAAUGCCUAUUCCUGCUCGGUCCACUAAAGAACCAACAGGAAAAAUCAAAUAAAUUAUCAAAUUAGUUUGCAGAAACAAUCCAGAAGCAAAAAUGAGAAAAGAAGGCCAGUAAAGAACAUCCAAAAAUUUAUAAACAUUUAAAUGUUUACAAAACUAAUGAAAAUCUAAAGUCUAUACAAAAAUAGACCUAAGGAUUAGGAGGGUCAACGGCUUCAGCCGGUGAAGGAUCAGCUAUCUCUAGAGGUGGAAGAUCAGCAAUACCGGGAGGAGGCGGCAUGGACCCUUGUCCCACUUCCAAGGCACGUCCCCCAGCUUCCCCCUCCUACACCCCAUCUAAAGGAGCCUCCACCUAAUCCUGCUCACCCUGCUCCUUAUCUGCUUGGCCGAUCUCCGCCAUAUAUCGCUGCACUCCGGCCUCCAGCUUGCUAAUGUCCAGCUCGGGAUAUUCUUCCUUAAGCACAGACAUGAUGCACUUAUAGGAGAAGGCAACCCCAGAAUCAUACUCGGCAUCCAGCCGAUCGUUCACAUCAGCGGAUUUGCCUUUCUCCUCAGCCAGCUGCUCACCCAAGGAUUUGAUUUCCCCCUCAAGGGCGGCCCUCAGAGUAUCCCUUUCACUUUGAGUAGCCUGAAGAUCAGAUCUCAGGUCACCCAACUCACCCUCGAGUUUGGAGGAAGUGGAUUCAGCAACCGCAACUUUCUCCUCUAGCUCCGUAAUCUGCUUGUUCAGCUCAGCCAGCUUCUCCUUGGAGCGAUCAACAGAUUCAGCUUUCUUCUUCAAUUCCUGAUUGUCAGCUUGAAGCUUCCUCUCAUGGCGCGCGGACCCAGUCUUGUAGCACGAAACCAUGGUGGCCAGCCUGAAGGACACUCUCUGAACAUAAGCAGCUAACUCGGAGAGGUUCAUACUCUCGAUGUCCUUCACCAUCUUGGGCCCCACCGAUUUUUUGUAAUCCUUCUGAUACGGGCUCAGGUAGUCACCUUGAUCCCGAGAUGGUAGAGGAGAAGAUCGGUCCCCAGACUGGAAGCUGACCUCAGGACUCUUGUCAGAAGUUUUCUCCCCACCACUCUUACGGGGUGGGGGAGGGGGCAGAGCAGGGACAUGAGCCUUGGAAGGGCCGACGCUGGUUUUCUUUGGAGGAGGAGGAGGGUUGCUGGAGCUGCUUGGAGCCCGACCACGCUUCCUGCUCAUCGCGCUGAGGAUCUUGUUAUCCAUUCCAGCGGCUAUGUCCACUAGGCCCGAACCGACCAGGUUUGUUGGUGACAGGAGGUCUUGGCAGGUAGACGCGUUCACCAGAGUAGUUUCCACCUGAAGCAAAGGUCGAUCUUCAAGCCCCCCGAUCAAACCCCACAACUCUGAAAUAGCAAAAGAGGUUAAAGAACUCGAUAAGUGACAAUUUGACUAAGAACAUAGGCAAAAAUAAACGACAUGGGGUGACAAAAUGUAUGGGAAGAUAAAUGUCCCCACCAAGCGACCGAACUGCUGGACACCAGUUCCCUCCAGCAAAGAAGAAUUUGUUCUUAUAAUUUUUACAUGAAGAGGGAAACCCAGUGAUCGGUUUCCUCUUUGCAAAACUGGACAUAAAGUAGUACCAGCCCGCUUCCCUCGGGCUACUCCGCAGCUGGUACAGAUGUUUCACUUCAACAAGGGAAGGCUCCUCCGACCCGCACCUCUCCCACAACACAAACAUUGCCGAGAGAACCCUCCACCCAUUUGGGUGUAGCUGACCUGGGGCUAGGUGCAUACCGCCCAGUAUCUUGGCAAAAUAACGUUGAAGGGGCAGCCGAGCUCCUAGUCUGAAACUCUCCAAGUGCAUCGUCACAUACCCUUUCGGAGGCCGACUAGGGACAUCAUCUUUUCCAGGAACUACAAGAAGAACCUCGUUGGGGAUAUUGUAGAGGUUCCUAAGCUUAAAUAGAUCAGUGGGGGUGGUGGCGCAAGCUAUGAAAUCAAUAGGGUAGGAAUCAGCCUCCACAGUAUGGCCAAGAUUCCUUUUCUUAGCAGGUCCGCUCGGUCUGGAACUGCUCCCCUCACCAUCACCAACUCCUUCAGGGAUCCCAACCCCACCGAAGCUGUGGUUCUCACCAGAGCCCGACGUAGGUCCACCUCUAUUCCCUACAAGCUCUAGUUCGGGGGAGGGAGAGACAACCAAGGGGCGUGGGUACUCAAGGGUAUCCAUGCCAUGGGAAUGACCUACACUACUGGAGGGACCUAAGAAAUCGGUCGGUAUUGACACGUUGAGGCCUGAAUCCCCUGAUUCUUUAUCACCCUCAUCAACAAUUAACUUUCUUUUCCUAUUUGACAUAUCGGAAUCCCAAAAGAAAACAAAGAAAACUCGAAUAUACGGAUACAAAAGGGGGCAACACGGAACCCAAUCAACAACAACCAGAGAAGAGAUUAAAAGUAGUACCUGAAAUGAACUGGCCCUGAUAGCGCUGCCGUGACAGAGAAAAAACCAGCAAGUAGAAACUCUGGACGCAGGAAGUGUGAGUAAAGUUCAGAAAGGGGGUAGGUUAACGACGGAGAGACGAGUAACAAAACGAUGACGAUGUAAAUCUAGGUAUUUGAAACGAAAAGGGGGAAAUGAAAGCAUUUAAGUGAUGGAGAUGCCAGCUCACUCAUCGUACAUCGAGGACAGAUAGCCCGUCGUUUCAAAUUUCAAAUACGAAGAGUCUGGAGAUGUCACGUCACUAACCGCUACAAGGGGCCAGGCUAGAUGUGAGCCCAAAUACGCAAUGGACAUGCUCAGGUCAAAAUCUCCCCUGAAGAAAAAUGAUACCUCAGGUCCGUCCCGGUAGACAGAAGACCAGAGGAGAAGCCCCCGGAUUGGUAAGAUUUGACUAUCAGUUUCUACUCUUGACUCAUUUCACUCACAAGACCAGAAACUGGGGGACUGGUGUUAAGCAAAUAAAAGCACCAGGUCGGCCAUGCUACUAUUUCCACCCCGGCACGAAUCACCUCAGCCAAAUGGUACGAGCAGAACAGGGGGCAACAUGAGCUGAUCAGAGACGAAUACUGACCAGAGGUAUAUACCGAGCCGAUACCCGUCCCCCAAAAAGCGGAAACACGAUCUCACAGAAUCACGAUAGUUGCGCUUUCCCCAGAACCGUUGCGGGAGACGCGAGAUCCCACGUUUGCCCAUAAUGCAGCAGUUAGAGUCCUAUGAGGGGCUGCCACUACCCGAAAAAGGUGGGAUGAAGGGCAAACGGGAACGUGGGGACAACGGCUAUAAAAGAAGAAGAAAUCGAUGAAGAAAGGGAUAGAAAAAUUGAGAGAAGGGAAAACUCUGCCAAAUUGCAACCAGGCCAUUUUCUUACAGAUUUCGAACAAACCUCUUGAAUCCAAAUUGUAUUGUUUUCCCGUAAACACCUUGUAAUAACUUAGGCAUCGGAGGGUUUACGCCGGCAAAACCACCGGCGUCUAUGAUCCGUUUUUGGUGAACGCAGGUCUAGUAAGAGAAUGGAGGGUGAUUCCAACCUUAGUGGUUCGAGCAACAGUCGAUAACAUAAACGUUGGUGAAAGGAUUUGGUCAGUCAAAAGGGCGAGCAGAUUUCGGCAUCAACAGACUUCUUUGCAAUUUUAGAUCUGGCCUUCAAUGAUUUAUGGAUUUUAUUUUCAGAUGAUUUUGCUUCGGUUGAGGCUUCCCCAGCAUUCCCAUCUUCCUUCUUCUCUUCAUUUUCUUGUGCCAUAGUCUACCCAAAUAACCAGGCUCCCAACAGACCAUAAUUUAGGGAUUAUUCUGUUGUUCACUAUUUAAAAUAUGAAAUACAAAACUCAAAAGCCCGGCAAAGGAAUGAAAGAAGCUGAAGAAGUGAAAAUGCAUCAAAAUUUGCAAGAAAAUAAUAAAUAUACAAUGCCUUCAUAAUGCAUAUAGCAGAUGGUGGCUAAUUGCCAAUUACUUGACAAUGAUAGGCAAAUUCUUCUGUCAGAAAGCGGGGUGAAAAAGGUCAGAAUCUUGAGACCUGCUCAAUCACAAGAUUGCAACAAAAAGGAGUCUGAUAAUAUACAAUGGGCAAUAAGAGAGAUUGGGUGUAUUGAAAUUAUGGUAGUGAGCUAAAAUAUUAUAAUAUUUGUAAUUCGCAUAUCACUAGAAAAAUAUUUUUCUUAUGUUUUCGCCCAUGAAUCUAGAUUAAAAGUUGAACCACCUAAAUUUUGAUGUCCCUAUGUGAUUUUGUUGUCUCAUGAUUUUUUAAUUUCACUUUAAUUGCAUAUCUGCUUCACCAAUCAAUAUGCAUUGAAGAAUGCUUACAUUAGUUUGUGUUUGGCUCAUCAUCACAACCAUUUCAUUCAAGAAAUCUCCUAUUCCCUCAAAACAAAACUAAAAAGUCUCAUGUAAUAAAAUCCUCCCCCGUUCCCCCCUCCCCUCUUCUUGUGGGAGUUAAUUUUGCUGUAUCUUCAAAGCAACAAAAGCGCAUUAAAAAGUUAAAGAUGAAAUGAAAUCAAUAUAUAUAUAUAUAUAGAGGGAGAGAGAGAGAGACACACACACACACACAAAAUUGGAGCUCAUAUUAUUUUAUUCAUCAUCACUAUCAUGGACUCCUACAUAGUACAAGAACCUCUUGUUGGCAACAAAUAGAACUUGAAGAGAGAAGAAGGAAAACAACAUCUCGUGAAUCCGAUAAUUAUCCGUCAUUAUAAAAAGGAUUACAAUUUUAUUUCUUAUUGUAUACUACAAAUUACAUGCAUAAUAAAUAAAUAAAUAAGAAUUAAAAAUUUUGGAAUUUAGUAAGGUUAACAGCAGAAUAGGCAUGUUGAAUGGCGUAAAAUCUCUUCGUGGCUUCUUUCACAAAAUUUGAAUCUCUUGAAGUUGAACAACGGCUUGGAUAUAUAGAGCCACAAUCACCUUGUAAAAAAAAAUUCAUACAGAUGUUGCAUGAGAAGAUUGGUUGUAUAAAACUAUUAUAGACCCACAUAAUUUACAAAAAUAAUAGUUAUCGCUUUUUAACUAAUGUCUUUAUGCCACAUUAGUUUGUUUACACAAGUUCAUAUAAAAAUGUUUGUGGUUACAUCAUUAUUGAUUUUGAAAAUAAUAUUUUAAUAUUUUUAUCUCAAAUGAUAGGAUAUUUUUUGACACAUUGGAUGCUUUUGGAUUUAAUGAUACCUUUGUAUAUUUUAUUUAUUAUUUCAUCUAACAUUGUUUGAUGAGUGAUGAUAGAGUUAAAAGCUCUUGUAUAAACUUAUUUUAUAUAUAUUGAUGAAAUUUAAAUUUAUUGGUUGAAUAAAAUUACCAAAUAAUAAAAAUAAAUAAUAUGAGCCAAGAGUUAGGGUUAGCCAAACUCAAUCCAACCCGAUGAACACAAUCCAACUCAAUCUAAUCUAAUCAAAUUUUGAUGGGUUGAGUGAAUUAUUAUAAGGUUAAUUAGGUAAAUUUUUUCGAAUCCAAUUAAUAAUUGAGUUGAGUUAGGUUUGGUUAAUUAUGAUGAACCUGUCUUACCCAACCCCAUCCAUGUAAAUAAUAGUAAUAGUAAUAAUAGUUAGGCAUCCAGUACUGCUUACCAAAUAGAAGCUAAUUCCUGCAAUUUACAUGAAAAUUGCACGAAAUAUCACUAUCCUUAUUUUCUUGAUUUCACCUUCAUUGUGUAUUUUUCUCCAGAAAUUCCAAACUUACGAAGAGGAUUCGGGCCACGUUCUAUGCAUCAUAUGGAAUGCGGCCAUUUUUCUGUGUAAUUUGUGAGGCGUUAUAUUACAUGGAGCUUGACUUCUUUCUUUCUAUGAAUGGUCAGAUGGCAUUGGUGAGAGGUUCUUCUGCUUCUUUGUUGAUUGUUCUGCUUUUGGCUUUUUUAUUAAAGUUAUUUUGAAUCCGCUUUCAGAUUGUGUGUUUAAUGAUUUGAUUAAAUUUGUGUUUAGUUAAAUGUAUUUGGAUUUCUGGAGUAUUUCAGCAGUUAAUGAUGAAAUUCAGCAUUAAAUUAACUUAUAAUCAUUCUAAUUAUCGAUUUUUUUUGUCAUGAAACAUCAUUAAGCACCUGCCAAAGACUGAAAGACACCAGUUUAAGGGUGCAUUUGUGAUUGAAGUUGGGCAGCUAUAGUUUAAAAGUUACAGCACUAAAGUGUUUGAUAAACACUAACUGAUGUAGCUUUGAAGAUAUGUUGAUAUGAUUUUUCACUUAUAUAAUAAAAAAUAUAUUAUAUCUUUAAUAAUUUUAUCAAAAUUAUUAUUUAAAAUUUAUAUUUAUUAUAUAUUACUAACUUUUAUUUCAUAAUUAUAAUUUUUUUUCACAGCAGCUGUAGCCCAGUCCCAAACGCACUCUAAUUUUUAUCUCUCAACACUCUGUUUUGCACCAAGGUAUCCAAUAUAUACUAGUUUAUUAAAUAAUUUUGAUUAGUGCUGAUUGCUAGUGUAUCAGUCUCCUAAUUAAUUAAAUGUGAAAACAUUCUAUUAUAUACUAGUCGAUUGAUUUUUCUUUUAAUCUUCCUGUUAUAUUCCACGACAGAGCUGAUUUAAAGACUUGGCCCAACUCUUCCCUCUAUGUUCAUUAAAUGUUAAUAUUUUUCUGCACCAAGGUUGACUUGAUGGUGCGUUAUUUUCAAUUUUUUUCAUUGACUUGUAUUUUUGUUUAAAUAUUGACAAAAAAUUAAGAAAGCAAUCAGCUCUUGUAACGUGCUCUGUUCUGUUUUCCACCAAAAAUAUAAUCAUUUAUUACCUCUAUCUUAUCAAAUAAUCAUGAUUAAUGCUGCUGGGAAAGUUCUAUUAGUCUUUCUUUUGAUAUAUCUUUACCAAUCUCAUCAGCUUUUGCCUCUUUUAUGAUGUGUUUUUUUAUUUUUUAACUCUUCUCAACCUUGGACGUGAGCCUGAUUCAAGCAGUAUUAUCACUCGUGUAAUUUAUUAAUGAGCUCUUUUCCCGUCAUAUAAUGCCGAUGCUUAUAUAUUCUACUCUUACCAUUCGAUUUUUGUACGCCUAGUACUUGUAGAUCAUUUUAAUUAUAUAUAUACUUCAUACUUGAUGGAGUGAAUAUAAUGCAUAAGAUAUUCAUUCAGUUAUAUGUAGAUAUAUUAAACUUUAGUUUAUGUACUAGACUAACUAAUGGACUUCUAACCUAAAUCAUCGAUAGAUUCUUAAGAUAAUUAGGCUUAAAUACGCAAUCGUCACUAAUUAUUAAUAAUUCAUGAAACCUCUAUUGCAACAGUGAUGAGAAUUGAAGUAUUAGUUGCUCUGGUUAUUCACAUCAUGACAAAUAAAUAGAGAGAUUUUGGCGGUUUCCUCCAUAAAUUUAUCACCUCAUCAUCCUCAAUUAUAUCCGAAACUCUUUACAAUCCCUAAUAUAUUUUAAAAGGUUUACUUUUGACAUUUUAAUAACUUCAAUUAGAUUCUCAAAAAAAAAAUUAAUAAUAAUAACUUCAAUUAGACCAAGCAUAUUUAGUUUCUUGAAGAUUUAUUCCUGAAAAAUCCAACCUGAUUUUUUUUAACUUUUUUUUUUAUAUUUUAUUAACAACUACUUUCUAAUAUUUGUUUAUUAAUCAAGAUAGAAUUGGAGUUUAAUGAUAAAAUGAUCACGAUUUUAAUUUAAAGAUUUGAGCCCAAAAUCACUUGGCUAUCAUAUAUACUCAAUAAUCACUUGAUUAUCAUACUCAUAUAUUACUCAAUAAUCAAAGCUAAUUAUUACUGAAUAAUCACUUGAUUAUUUGAAAAAUGCUGGCAGCACUUGCAACUCCCUGGAACCCUCGUGUAAGUGUAGAUUCCGAGUACAUCAACUGUUCGAAAAAAUGCCCAUUUGAAGAAGUUGAGGACCCGGGGACCCGCCACUGGUACUAUAAGUCUCAUCUUUUGUCUUUUUAUUUGUAUAUCUAUUUUUUUUAUUAAAAAAAAUUGAUAAUAAAGUCCGCAAAAAGUUUGUAGGAGGGUAAUUAGAAAAGCACAUGGGUCACUUCACUUUGGGUCUCUUGGCCUUCAUCAGUUCAUUGUAAUUAUCAACAGUAAAAGACAAUACAACUGUGAUGCAUUUUCACAAAAAGUUUGCAAAGUCUUCAUUUUCACAAAAAGUUUGCUAAUAGAAAAUUUUUAAGUAAUAUUGUUGUUAUUGAAUGUAACUGCCAUGUAAUCAUUCUAAGUAAUAUUGUUAUUUAUGUAGAAGGUUUUUCCCGUAACGUUCUUGACAAAGCGCUUGUGUUUGUUGGUUAAUCGGAUUAGCAUUUUGAUUGUUCGUAAAGCACUGGAAAACUCGCCCUGAAUCAAAAAUCAUUCUCAAUCUAUUUAAUUCCCUCUGGUAUUAUUGCUUAUGAACUGUACCUUUUAAAUUACAGUAGUUAAAUAUUUAAUAAACACUUAAAAUUAAUAAAAGUUACCAUAAAAAUUACUUGAGAAGCCUUACAACUACAAGUUGAAAAAUAUCGGCAACACAGCAGUAACUGGUAACAAGAAAAUUCAAUGAGACGCCAAAAUGCCACCUAGCGCUAUCCAAUUAACCUGUGGGUGAGGGUAUUUCCACCCUACUAUUUGUGUAAAUCCACCCCACUUCUAAAAAUAUUUAUAAUAAAUACACUUUUUUUUAAUAAAUACAAAUCAACAGAAAAAAUUAUAUAAUUAAUCAAUUAAAUCAUUCUUAUAUUUUUUUUUCUUAAGUUAUUUACUUGCGCUGUAAGAAUCGGAAUUGGAAUGAACAACAUUCUCAUUGAUGUGUUUACUUUAUUUUAUAAUUGGAAUAACUAUUUCAAGUUAUUAAAAUGCCCUAAUAUUAUUUGUAUAUAUUAUAACUAAAACAACAAUAAUAAUAAAACUAAAAAUAAUACUUCUGACAAUAAUGUUAAUUAAAACAAAAAAUUAAUAAAAUUUAACAAUAAUAAUAAUAACAAAAACAAAAAAAUUAACUGAAAUAAUAAUAUUAAUAAUGAUAAUAAUUAAAAUAAUAAAAAUCAUUAAUAGUUUUAAUACUAUUAUUAAUAAAAAUAAUAACAACAAUAACUAAUAAUAAUUAAAAUAACAAAGUUAAUAUAAUAAUAACAUUAAUUUUAAUCAUAACAAGAUAAAUAUUAAUAAUAAUGAAUUAAUUACGGUAUAAUAACAAUUAAAAUAAUAAAAGUAAUAAAUUUUAAUAAUAAUAAUGACAAUAAUAAUCAUAAAUAAUAAUAAUAAUUAAAAUAAAUAAAAAUAAUAAAAUUUAAUAGAAAUAAUCUUAUAUAAUAAUAAUAAUGAUAAUAAUAAUAAAAAUAAAUUAAAAUUAUUUUCAAAUGUCAUUUUAUCAUAAAAAUGGACUUAUAUGUAAAAAUUUGUAACAUUUAGUGUCUAUUGAAUUUUACAAAAAAUAUAAGGUGGUGUGGUGUAAUCAACUACAAAAGAAUAAAAGUUGUUGUAUAUUACAACUGUUGCAACAUAGGCGGACCCUAUAUAUAUGUAUUUUAAAAAAUAAUGAAACCGUAAUAACCCUUAUAACUAUGUAUCUCAAUCAUUGAGAAUCUAGUUGACUUGGAAGCACGAGUCUUCACCUCAUAUGAAUUUAGUUCGACAUUUUUGCAUUAUUUGGAUUACCCAUUGAGUCUUGAGAUCAAACUUGUGCCCCUGCAUUUUCUUUUAGUCUAAUCGCUUAGCAUACCUUAUUAUUCGUGUAUUAUCGUUUUUUUUUAUGUUUAUUAACAUCUAAUCACUAAUCUUUGUUUGCUUCGGUGAAAACUUUGAUCAAGAUAGAGUUGUAGUUUACUGAUAAAAUGAUCACGAUUUUUAAUUUAAAGAUUUGAUUCCAAGAUCCUAACAUUCACAUUUUUAAUUAUAUUUGUUGAUAAACAAGAAAAAAAUUGAUUAGAAGAAUACGACAAUAAGAAGAUAAAAAUACUUGCUCAAAUACUCUGCCGUGUGCUUACAUACAAAUCCACUCUCUUAGCUUUUUAAUCACAUAUAUAAAUCAUCAUCAUCACUAGAUGAUCAUAUAUUUACUCAAUAAUCAAAGCUAGUUAGUGAAAGCUUUGAAUGGUCUUCCAAGAUUGAAGAUGAGGGCAGCACUAGGAACUUCCAGGAACCUUCUCGUAAAUUUAGAUAGAUGCCGAGUGUAUGGACUGUUCGAUGAAAUGCCUCUAUGAAGUUGAGGAAUGGAGAGAUUGCAUAACGACCACAUGUUUGGAACUUGAAUUCAGACUGUUAUUAUUAGAAGCACAUGUCAUGGGGUCUCUUCACUUUAACCUUUGGUCCCAUCCUCUGGCCUUCUGCCACCUGGAUCUUCGCAGCAACUUUGCUGAGUAAGAUUGACGAUUGCAGUGCUACGCUAUUUGUCACUUUAGUCUAGAUAUAAAGCUUAAAAUCUUAUCACAGGGUAAUAAUAUCAGUAAACAUUUGACAAAUCACUGAUCAAUUGAUCUUUUCAAGUCACUUGUAUCGUUUCCAUCGGAUUUGACGCCAUCAAACUACAAAAAUUUAUGUAAAAUUUUUGAAGUAACAAAAUUGUCUUACCCAUUAUACACGAUAGAAUCUCGGAUCAUGAAUGAAGUGAUGUCAAUUUCAAUUAAAAAGAUUUCAGUCUCAAGACCCUAACCCGUUUAGGUUAUUGAGCGAACGACUUAUCAAAAUGAGAAAGCUACAAAAUAUGUGACAAUACGAGGACAGCAAAGAAAUUAAGCCAUCAGCUCUUGGAGUGUAUUCUGUUUUGCACAAAAAAUAUAAAUCAGUGAUCACCUCUAGUUUAUCAAAGUAAUCAUGAUUAAUGCUGUAAGGAAAGCUUUAGUAGUCUUUCUUUAUGAAUCUCGCCCGCUUUUGCUUUUCUUUUAGCAUAGUCUUUCUUUGUAUCCCCAGUCAACCCAAAGCCUUUAACUAUGAUCUUCUCUUGAAUAGAUCUUGUCUAAUAAAAAAUUGAGAUCCUCUCUUGAAUAGAGUUUACCCUUGAAAAAUAAGUAUACAUUAUCAUUCAUGUACUGUCAAAAUUUGAGCUUAAGUUCCAACUAUUUAAAAAUUAUUGUUUAUUUUUGUUGGUGAAAGCAAAUCGAUUAGAAGAAUGUGGUACUGGUAAUAAGAAGAUAAAAAUGCUUGCUCAAUACUUUGCCGUGUGUGCUUUCUUACAAAUCCACUAGCUUAGCUUUUAAUCACAUAGAUAAGUCGUCAUAUUCACAUAUAUAAGUCGUCAUAUUAUCAUAUAUUACACAAUAAUCAAAGCUAAUUAUUGAAACCUUUCGAGUUUGAAAAUGCCGGCAGCACUUGCAACUUCCAGGAACCUUCGUGGAAGUGCAGAUGCUGAGUGCAUCCAUCUGUUCGAUUAAAUGCCGAAAUGAUUUCGAGGACCCACACGACCACGCAACAUUUUUUUUUUGUUCAUUUUAUUUGUAUAUCUAUUUGUGGGAAAAAAAAAAGAAUCAUAAGGUCCGCAAACUUUGGCUUUAUAGCAGAGUAAUUAAUUUUUUAUUUAUUACUCAUCAACUUAGAUUUUUAAAUUACAACAGUAAUAAAAUAUUUAAUAAACAAUUACAAAUAAUUAAAGCUGCCAUUAAAAAUGUUUGAAAAGUCUUACGAUUACAUGCUGAAAAAUGUCCGCAUCGGCAUCAUAGCACUUACUAGUAACAAGAAAAUUCAAUGAAAUGCCAAAAUGAUACCUUGCGCUGUCCAAUUAACCUAUAACUUUAACACUAUUUACAUGCAAUUAUAACCAUCUAUCUCAGUUAUUAAGAAUCUAUAGUUGACUUGGAAGCACGAGUCUUCUCCUUGUAUGAAUUUAGUUUGGCAUUUUCCUAAUCAUCCCUCUUCUCUAAUCUCUAGAGUUCUCUGAAAUCUCUUCUUCAUUUUCUGUCUCCCUUUUCUUAAUAAUCCUUGUCCUCGAUCCUAUACAUUCUUUAAAAACCUUCCAUUGCACUCGCUUUUCAAUUUGUCUUGGCAGAAAAAGGAUCCCCCUUUGUUUCAUCUCUAGAUCCGUCACUCUUUUUCUCUCCUCCUCCCUUAAAUCUAUUCAACCUCUUAUUUUAGCAAUUUAUCCAAACUUCUUAUUUCCCUUUCCCAGCUGAUUGAUUAGUUCUGCUUAGUUUGAUUAGUUUUGCUUUCCCCUGUUUUCUGAAAGCGAAAAAUAAAAAAGAAAGGGAUAAUGGAAAUUGUUAUCUCCGUUGCUGCAAAAGUUGCAGAGUACUUGGUUGCUCCCAUUGUUCAUCCAUUUACUUACUGCUGCAGCUACAACACCAACUUGGAGAAGCUGAAGAAUGAAUUUGAGAAGCUAAAGAUUGCUAGAGCCAGUCUGCA